UACGGAGGGGGCUAGCGUUAUUCGGAUUUACUGGGCGUAAAGCGCACGUAGGCGGAUCAGAAAGUUAGGGGUGAAAUCCCGGGGCUCAACCUCGGAACUGCCUCUAAAACUCCUGGUCUUGAGGUCGAGAGAGGUGAGUGGAAUUCCGAGUGUAGAGGUGAAAUUCGUAGAUAUUCGGAAGAACACCAGUGGCGAAGGCGACUGACUGGACAAGUAUUGACGCUGAGGUGCGAAAGCGUGGGGAGCAAACAGG
RNAcentral lists this ribosomal RNA (253 nucleotides) under uncultured Alphaproteobacteria bacterium. RNAcentral describes it as "partial 16S ribosomal RNA". It matches the Rfam family "Bacterial small subunit ribosomal RNA", at positions 524 to 776 of the family's 1533-position model. The record is from RNAcentral. Lineage: Bacteria; Pseudomonadati; Pseudomonadota; Alphaproteobacteria.